GAUGAACGCUGGCGGCGUGCCUAAUACAUGCAAGUCGAGCGAACGGACGAGAAGCUUGCUUCUCUGAUGUUAGCGGCGGACGGGUGAGUAACACGUGGAUAACCUACCUAUAAGACUGGGAUAACUUCGGGAAACCGGAGCUAGUACCGGAUAAUAUUUUGAACCGCAUGGUUCAAAAGUAAAAGACGGUCUUGCUGUCACUUAUAGAUGGAUCCGCGCUGCAUUAGCUAGUUGGUAAGGUAACGGCUUACCAAGGCAACGAUGCAUAGCCGACCUGAGAGGGUGAUCGGCCACACUGGAACUGAGACACGGUCCAGACUCCUACGGGAGGCAGCAGUAGGGAAUCUUCCGCAAUGGGCGAAAGCCUGACGGAGUAACGCCGCGUGAGUGAUGAAGGUCUUCGGAUCGUAAAACUCUGUUAUUAGGGAAGAACAUAUGUGUAAGUAACUGUGCACAUCUUGACGGUACCUAAUCAGAAAGCCACGGCUAACUACGUG
This 497-nucleotide ribosomal RNA is filed under the name uncultured bacterium. Its description in RNAcentral is "partial 16S ribosomal RNA". It matches the Rfam family "Bacterial small subunit ribosomal RNA", at positions 28 to 507 of the family's 1533-position model. The record is from RNAcentral.